AGAGUUUGAUCAUGGCUCAGAUUGAACGCUGGCGGCAGGCCUAACACAUGCAAGUCGAGCGGCAGCGGGAAAGUAGCUUGCUACUUUUGCCGGCGAGCGGCGGACGGGUGAGUAAUGCCUGGGGAUCUGCCCAGUCGAGGGGGAUAACUACUGGAAACGGUAGCUAAUACCGCAUACGCCCUACGGGGGAAAGCAGGGGACCUUCGGGCCUUGCGCGAUUGGAUGAACCCAGGUGGGAUUAGCUAGUUGGUGAGGUAAUGGCUCACCAAGGCGACGAUCCCUAGCUGGUCUGAGAGGAUGAUCAGCCACACUGGAACUGAGACACGGUCCAGACUCCUACGGGAGGCAGCAGUGGGGAAUAUUGCACAAUGGGGGAAACCCUGAUGCAGCCAUGCCGCGUGUGUGAAGAAGGCCUUCGGGUUGUAAAGCACUUUCAGCGAGGAGGAAAGGUUGGUAGCUAAUAACUGCCAGCUGUGACGUUACU
This 484-nucleotide ribosomal RNA is filed under the name Aeromonas sp. Its description in RNAcentral is "bacterial SSU rRNA". It matches the Rfam family "Bacterial small subunit ribosomal RNA", at positions 8 to 479 of the family's 1533-position model. Lineage: Bacteria; Pseudomonadati; Pseudomonadota; Gammaproteobacteria; Aeromonadales; Aeromonadaceae. The record is from RNAcentral.